Molecule: long non-coding RNA, 1912 nt
Organism: Salvia miltiorrhiza (redroot sage)
Lineage: Eukaryota; Viridiplantae; Streptophyta; Magnoliopsida; Lamiales; Lamiaceae
Exons: 5
Source: RefSeq, a predicted model, not a curated record
UUUAAGAUAUUGGGAAAAGAAAAUUCAAACAAGAAUACAUAUUUCCUUCUCCCGGUAAAAGCUUGGCGGCAACAUAUCUCUAUCAUGUCUAGACGGUUAUCAAAAAUCAGAAAUCAAAAAAGCCCUCAUUCUUAAACUCAUUAUGCCUCAAUCAGAAUUUCAGCGGUUCACGUUGAAAGUCGUUGCCAAUCUGAAGCCACCCGAAAGCCAUCAAUUUUAUCGUGUAUUUAAAGGUACCGGUGAGCCAUCAAUUCCAGCGUAAAUUCGUAGGCUCUGGUGAGGUUAGUCUUUGACAUACUUUUAUUAUUCUUAUUCCUACAAUUUGGAUUGAACAUCUGGUAUUUCUAAUUUGUUAUUUUCAGUACCGUGGUUUUUUUGGGAGUUAUGAACGUCGAAGGAAUGUCGUCGACAUUUUUAUAGCUAGCUUGUCUUCUUAGUUUGGAUAGAUGUGUUUUUCAUUCCAGAAUAUACGUUAUAUUUGAUUGCUUGGGAUGUUUGCUAAUCUCCUAAUUCUUGUGAGAAAAGUGAAUAGGGCAGGCUUAGCUACACAUUUAAAUUCAGUGAAUUCUUGAUCUGAAGAAUAAGGUUGUGUAUGGAGUUUCAUUGUUGAUAUGAUGUUUUUCAUAGAACUUUGUGCUAAGUGUGUAUUCUAUCAAUAUAUAAAAUUCAGGUUUGUUUUGUAGUAUGUGCUAAGUGUGUAUUCUAUCAAUAUAUUAUCCAUUUGGUUGUGCUCUUCUUUCUGGCAUAGAGUCAAGCCCUUCCAAGUUUAUUGUUUAAACAUAUUAUCCCUUUGGUUGUGCUCUUCUUUAUGGCAUUGAGUCAAGCCCUUUCAAUUUUAUUGUUUAAACAUAUCGAGUCAAGCCCUACUAAUGGGGCUUAAUAAAGUUUAAUCAAUGUUAAAGCCCGAGAAUUGCAAGGAAAAUCAUUCAAGCAUGGAAGUCAGAAUGAGAAACUUUGCUUAAACAGAUUACUUGCACUUGCAAGUAUGACUACUAAAAAUCGAAAGCUUAAACAGACUACUUUUAGCUUGUCAGAUGAGCAAGUGCACCAGCCACAUAGUAAGAUUAUGCAUCACCACAAUAUAUGUUAUAUGUUAUGUUAUUUCUCUUAUUAAAUAAGUAUAUAUGGUUUUAUCUUUUAUCUACGACAACUAGAACUCAAGUGGGUAGACGAGUAUCCAAUGGGGCUGUACAAGAAGUUCUCAAAGCUCUAAUCUGCCAAGAAUGAUUUCAUCACCAAACCAACAUCUUCGGGUACUUAUCCUUUUUCAUUUACCUAUACUUUAGUAUAUACCUCUAUUGUAAUAUGUGAUAUGUUACUUUACUAUGCGAUGUGUGUUUAAAUGAAUUAGUAAUAUUUCUUUUCGAAAUAUUAGACUAUUCGUACAAUUAAUCUUGUCCAGUUUAGUGUGGGGAGUGGGAAUAGCAAUUUUGAGUGGUUGAUCAAAAUGGUGACGAUGGUUGAAUUCAUGUUUUUGACUGCUCCGGUUAAAUUUCUCUUACCUUACCUCUGGUUUUGAUUCUACAUAUUCUACCUAAUUAAGUUGCUCAAAUUAAUCUACCAAGAAUGAUUUCACCAAACCAACAUCUUCAGAUUGGAGUUCAUGUUGAUCUUAAAAGUGUAUCUCAACAAGGAAAAAUUGUGGCUAAAGGAUGUGUACAUAGCACUAGCCCAAUGCAAAAGUUGGGAGACAAGUAUUGGGAGAGAAUCGGUGUCAAGUGCAAGUUAAAGUAGUAGUUGAAUCUGAAGAGCGAUUAAUUCGACCUUAUGGUUAUUGUCAAACACUUGGAGACGCACUUGGUGAAAUGGUUGCAUGGCCAUGCGAUUUGGUGACACCCAUUGAAUGACAAUGAAAUGUCCAGUUCUUCCAUUGAAGAAGUUUCUACAAGAAAAGCUACAUGUUUCAAGGAAA